UUAAUAAAAAUUUAUUAAUAUAUUUUAUUAGGUUUAUAAAGUAUUAAAAAUAAUUAUGUUAAAAAAUGUUUUAGUAAAUUAUAUUGAAAAAAUAAAUUUUAUGAUAGUGAAUUAGUAAUGUGAAUGAAUAUUGAAAUAUUGUGAAAAUUUAUUAUUAAAAAAGAAAAUUUAGUUUAUUGUACCUUGUGUAUCAGCGUUAAUUAAUUAAAAAAUAUAUAUUUAUUUUUCUCGAUUUUAAAAGAGUUAAUAAAUUAUUAAAGUUAUUGUAAUAAAAUUAUUUUAAAUAAUUUAUUAGAAAUGAAAUGUUUUUCGUUUUUAAAGGUAUCUAGUUUUUUUAGAAAUAAAUUUAAUUUAGAAUUUUUUGAAAUAUUUAUUUAUUCAGAUAAAUAAAUAAUUAAAAAAUUUAAUAUUUUAUGGGAUAAGCUGUAAAAUAAAUUAUUAUAAAUAAUAAAUAAUUAAAGAAAAAUAUAUGCUUAGAAUUAGCAAAUAUUAAUAAAUGUGUUAUAAUUUAUUUUAUUAUUUAAAUUAUUUAUUAAAUUUUAAGUUUUUAUAAAAAUAUUUAUAUUAAUUAAAAAUAUAAAAUAAUAAUGAUUAAAUUAGUAUAUUUUAAUGUAAGUUUAAAUUUAUUUGAAAGGUUUAUUUAAAGAACUCGGCAAAAUAGUAUUCGCCUGUUUAACAAAAACAUGUCUUUUUGAAUUAAAUUUAAAGUCUAACCUGCCCACUGAAAUAUUUUAAAUGGCCGCAGUAUACUAACUGUGCAAAGGUAGCAUAAUCAUUAGUCUUUUAAUUGAAGGCUGGUAUGAAUGGUUGGACGAAAUAUUAACUGUUUCAAAUAAAUUAAUUAUAGAAUUUUAUUUUUUAGUUAAAAAGCUAAAAUUUAAUUAAAAGACGAGAAGACCCUAUAAAUCUUUAUAAUUUAUUUUAUUUUAAAUAUAAAGAAUAAUUUAUUUAUUAAAAAUUAAAUUAUUUUAUUGGGGUGAUAUUGAAAUUUAAUAAACUUUCAAUUUAAUUAAUUCAUUAAUUUAUGAAUUAUUGAUCCAAUAUUAUUGAUUAAAAAUUUAAGUUACUUUAGGGAUAACAGCGUAAUUUUUUUGGAGAGUUCAUAUCGAUAAAAAAGAUUGCGACCUCGAUGUUGGAUUAAGAGAUAUUUUUGGAUGCAGCUGUUCAAAGGUUAAGUCUGUUCGACUUUUAAAUUCUUACAUGAUCUGAGUUCAAACCGGUGUAAGCCAGGUUGGUUUCUAUCUUUAAUGAAAUAAAAUAUUUUAGUACGAAAGGACCAAGUAUUUAAAUUAUAAAAUUUUAAAAAAUUGAAUUUUAGUAAUU
Molecule: ribosomal RNA, 1323 nt
Filed under: Spaniocelyphus pilosus
Lineage: Eukaryota; Metazoa; Arthropoda; Insecta; Diptera; Celyphidae
Description: 16S ribosomal RNA
Rfam family: Archaeal large subunit ribosomal RNA (bases 622-1323)
Source: RNAcentral